UAACUAAACCAUCACUUUAAGUGCAUCUUUGGAUGUUACUCAUUGUGUAACUUUGACAUCUGGCCUCAAAUCAAGUAGGACUACCCGCUGAACUUAAGCAUAUCAAUAAGCGGAGGAAAAGAAACUAACAAGGAUUCCCCUAGUAACGGCGAGUGAAGCGGGAAGAGCUCAAAUUUGAAAUCUGGUGGCCUCAGGUCAUCCGAGUUGUAAUCUAUAGAAGUGUUUUCCGUGCUGGCUCAUGUACAAGUCCCUUGGAACAGGGCGUCAUAGAGGGUGAGAAUCCCGUCCUUGACAUGAACUACCAGUGCUCUGUGAUACAUUUUCAACGAGUCGAGUUGUUUGGGAAUGCAGCUCAAAAUGGGUGGUAAAUUCCAUCUAAAGCUAAAUAUUGGCGAGAGACCGAUAGCGAACAAGUACCGUGAGGGAAAGAUGAAAAGCACUUUGGAAAGAGAGUUAAACAGUAUGUGAAAUUGUUGAAAGGGAAACGAUUGAAGUCAGUCGUGCUCUUUGGAUUCAGCCGGUUCUGCCGGUGUACUUCCUUUGAGUGGGGUCAACAUCAGUUUUGAUCGCUGGAUAAAGGCUGGAGGAACGUAGUACCCUCGGGUAAACUUAUAGCCUCCUGUCACAUACAGUGGUUGGGACUGAGGAACGCAGCACGCCUUUAUGGCCGGGAUUCGUCCACGUACGUGCUUAGGAUGUUGACAUAAUGGCUUUAAACGACCCGUCUUGAAACACGGACCAAGGAGUCUAACAUAUCUGCGAGUAUUUGGGUGUCAAACCCAAGUGCGCAAUGAAAGUGAAUGUAGGAGGGAUCCGCAAGGA
RNAcentral lists this ribosomal RNA (822 nucleotides) under Filobasidium magnum. RNAcentral describes it as "LSU rRNA". It matches the Rfam family "Eukaryotic large subunit ribosomal RNA", at positions 1 to 750 of the family's 3401-position model. Lineage: Eukaryota; Fungi; Basidiomycota; Tremellomycetes; Filobasidiales; Filobasidiaceae. The record is from RNAcentral.